UUGUAUUAGUAGAUUAUGCUGAUGUUUUCGUACUUGAGUUAUAUUUAGGUUAGCAAGUGAGAUUUGAAGAAAAAAGGAAGGAAGAUUAGGGUUUAAAAGCACGUUGAGUCGAUGUCUUAGAGACGGAAGAGUUCAAGAGUUGGAGGUAAAAGGAUAUAUUGAUCGAUCAGUAUAGUUCAUCUGAUAUAUAGAGAAGCUACAUGCGAUACAAAGCAUUGAGUGUUUUAGAACUAAACAUCACAAUGUAAUUGGAACGUUUCAGUUAAUGGACUCAGGCAACAUUGUACUAGCUUCCACUGACUACUCAGUGUUCCCGUCUAGCGUGGUGCAGGCAGCUGGGUUAGCUGUAUGCGUUCUGUGAAUGUGAUGUUUUCGUACUUGAGUUAUGUAUAGGUUAGCAAGUGAGGUUUGAAGAAAAAAGGAAGGAAGAUUAGGGUUCAAAAGCACGUUGAAGUCAAUGUCUUAGAGACGGAAGAUUUCAAGAGUUGGAGGUAAAAGGAUAUAUUAAUCGAUCAGUAUAGUUCAUCUGAUAUAUAGAGAAGCUACAUGCGAUACAAAGCAUUGAGUGUUUUAGAACUAAACAUCACAAUGUAAUUGGAACGUUUCAGUUAAUGGACUCAGGCAACAUUGUACUGGCUUCCACUGACUACUCAGUGUUCCCGUCUAGCGUGGUGCAGGCAGCUGGGUUAGCUGUAUGCGUUCUGUGAAUGUGAUGUUUUCGUACUUGAGUUAUGUAUAGGUUAGCAAGUGAGGUUUGAAGAAAAAAGGAAGGAAGAUUAGGGUUCAAAAGCACGUUGAAGUCAAUGUCUUAGAGACGGAAGAUUUCAAGAGUUGGAGGUAAAAGGAUAUAUUGAUCGAUCAGUAUAGUUCAUCUGAUAUAUAGAGAAGCUACAUGCGAUACAAAGCAUUGAGUGUUUUAGAACUAAACAUCACAAUGUAAUUGGAACGUUUCAGUUAAUGGACUCAGGCAACAUUGUACUGGCUUCCACUGACUACUCAGUGUUCCCGUCUAGCGUGGUGCAGGCAGCUGGGUUAGCUGUAUGCGUUCUGUGAAUGUGAUGUUUUCGUACUUGAGUUAUGUAUAGGUUAGCAAGUGAGGUUUGAAGAAAAAAGGAAGGAAGAUUAGGGUUCAAAAGCACGUUGAAGUCAAUGUCUUAGAGACGGAAGAUUUCAAGAGUUGGAGUUAAUGGACUCAGGCAACAUUGUACUGGCUUCCACUGACUACUCAGUGUUCCCGUCUAGCGUGGUCCAGGCAGCUGGGUUAGCUGUAUGCGUUCUGUGAAUGUGAUGGUUUCGUACUUGAGUUAUGUAUAGGUUAGCAAGUGAGAUUUGAAGAAAAAAGGAAGGAAGAUUAGGGUUCAAAAGCACGUUGAAGUCAAUGUCUUAGAGACGGAAGAUUUCAAGAGUUGGAGUUAAUGGACUCAGGCAACAUUGUACUGGCUUCCACUGACUACUCAGUGUUCCCGUCUAGCGUGGUGCAGGCAGCUGGGUUAGCUGUAUGCGUUCUGUGAAUGUGAUGGUUUCGUACUUGAGUUAUGUAUAGGUUAGCAAGUGAGGUUUGAAGAAAAAAGGAAGGAAGAUUAGGGUUUAACGGCACGUCGAUGUCGAUGUCUUAGAAACGGAAGAUUUCAAGACUUGGAGGGUCACACUUCCAAGGGUAAAAAUGGGUCAAAACCAAUCCAUAAUGGUAAUGACCAAAUUGCUGCAAGUGCAGAAGAUAGCAGUGAACAGACACAGCAGUUUCAGUUAGAAUUGUACUGGUGUAUUCGGCAGUUGGAG
Molecule: RNA transcript, 1779 nt
Organism: Schistocerca cancellata (South American locust)
Lineage: Eukaryota; Metazoa; Arthropoda; Insecta; Orthoptera; Acrididae
Gene name: UPF0488 protein CG14286
Exons: 5
Source: RefSeq, a predicted model, not a curated record